UACGUAGGGGGCAAGCGUUGUCCGGAUUUACUGGGCGUAAAGGGCGUGCAGGCGGUCCGCAAAGUCUGAUGUGAAAGCCCCGGGCUCAACCUGGGAACUGCAUUGGAAACUAACGGGCUCGAGUGUGGCAGAGGGGGGUGGAAUUCCACGUGUAGCAGUGAAAUGCGUAGAGAUGUGGAGGAACACCGAUGGCGAAGGCAGCCCCCUGGGCUAACACUGACGCUCAGGCACGAAAGCGUGGGGAGCAAACAGG
This 253-nucleotide ribosomal RNA is filed under the name uncultured bacterium. Its description in RNAcentral is "partial 16S ribosomal RNA". It matches the Rfam family "Bacterial small subunit ribosomal RNA", at positions 524 to 776 of the family's 1533-position model. The record is from RNAcentral.